CAUAUACUCCCUCCGUCCUAAAAUUCUUGUCUUCAAUUUAUCUAAAUAUGAAUGUAUCUAGUCACGUUUUAGUAUUUAGAUACAUCCAUUUCUAGAUAAAUUUAAGACAAAAGUUUUGGGACGGACGGAGUACCUA
RNAcentral lists this microRNA precursor (136 nucleotides) under Hordeum vulgare. RNAcentral describes it as "microRNA MIR1122". It matches the Rfam family "MIR1120/MIR1122 microRNA precursor family". The record is from RNAcentral. Lineage: Eukaryota; Viridiplantae; Streptophyta; Magnoliopsida; Poales; Poaceae.